Balaenoptera acutorostrata (minke whale) is the source of this 455-nucleotide long non-coding RNA. RefSeq lists it as uncharacterized. The transcript is spliced from 3 exons. NCBI's taxonomy places the organism in Eukaryota, Metazoa, Chordata, Mammalia, Artiodactyla, Balaenopteridae. The record is from RefSeq and is a predicted model, not a curated record.
UUUCUUGCAGAAGAACAGCUUUUAAAGGCCUGGGAGCCUGCACGGUGGGAGUGCUGACACUGCCAGUUUGGGCCGGCAGCCGGAUGUGGGCCACACGCAGAAAUCAGUGUGUUGAAUGCUUCUGAUUUGGCUGUAGAGCAAGCAAGCACAUGCCCUCCAGAAAUAUCAAGAAAGGAGAAGCUUACCGCAUGGCAAACUGCCUCCACUUCUCAUCCAAAAUAGAACUCUGGCUGAGGAACCUUGGCUACUGGCUUCUGAACCAUCUUGCUUGGUGUUGGCAUCUCUGUGACCUCCCAGGAUGGGUCUUGGCCUUACCAUCCCUUUGCCAUCCUGGCCCACCACUCCCAACUUUAAUCACAGACUCAGACAGUUGCCUGAUCUCUAGAUUCUGGUGACAGCCUGCCUACUUGUUCUUCUUGCCCUCACCAAACUCACUGACCAAGCACAUCACACAA